Molecule: transfer RNA, 93 nt
Filed under: Methylobacterium thuringiense
Lineage: Bacteria; Pseudomonadati; Pseudomonadota; Alphaproteobacteria; Hyphomicrobiales; Methylobacteriaceae
Description: tRNA-Cys
Source: RNAcentral
GGACUGGCUGGUCGAGGAGGGGAGGGCGAUCACAGCUCGCCCGUGAGGAACUGCGCGCGGCCGUGGCCGAAGCUCCAGUCCUCGUCGGUGUUC